RNAcentral lists this RNase P RNA (381 nucleotides) under Pirellulaceae bacterium. RNAcentral's name for it is "RNase P RNA component class A". It matches the Rfam family "Bacterial RNase P class A". From Rfam's summary of the family: Ribonuclease P (RNase P) is a ubiquitous endoribonuclease, found in archaea, bacteria and eukarya as well as chloroplasts and mitochondria. Its best characterised activity is the generation of mature 5'-ends of tRNAs by cleaving the 5'-leader elements of precursor-tRNAs. Lineage: Bacteria; Pseudomonadati; Planctomycetota; Planctomycetia; Pirellulales; Pirellulaceae. The record is from RNAcentral.
CGAGUUGGCCGGAUAGCCGCUGGCUCCCUCGGGAGCGAGAGGAAAGUCCGGGCUCCGAAGGACGAGGUGGUCGGUAACCCCGACCGGCCGCGAGGCUCGGGAAAGUGCAACAGAAAGCAAACCGCCCACCUUCACCGGUGGGUAAGGGUGAAACGGUGCGGUAAGAGCGCACCAGCAGCCGAGGUGACUCGGCUGGCUAGGUAAACCCCGCCUGGAGCAAGGCCAAACAGGGAGGAGCUCCCUUGUGGAGCGCGGGUCGGUCCGGCCCGUUACCACUCCCGGGUAGGCUGCUGGAGGCGACGAGCAAUCGUCGCCGUAGAUAAAUGGCUAUCACUCGCCCUCGGGCGAGGACAGAACCCGGCUUACACGCCAACUCGCCGC